CAUUAAGCCACCACCAAAUUAGACUAGCUCCAAAGAUAAAUUGCCCUUUCCCUCCAUGGUGUCUGAAAGCACAUUAGCGAGUGCUAGUCCAUUAAGACAGGCCUAGGCGGUACAUUGGCC
Long non-coding RNA from Cucurbita moschata (crookneck pumpkin), 120 nucleotides. RefSeq lists it as uncharacterized. The transcript has 3 exons. The record is from RefSeq and is a predicted model, not a curated record. Lineage: Eukaryota; Viridiplantae; Streptophyta; Magnoliopsida; Cucurbitales; Cucurbitaceae.